UAAUACGUAGGCAGCAAGCGUUGUUCGGAGUUACUGGGCGUAAAGGGUGUGUAGGUGGCGCGCUAAGUUCCGUGUGAAAUCUCUGGGCUUAACCCAGAGGCUGCUUUCAAAACUUCCGUGCUCGAGUGCGAGAGAGGUCAGUGGAAUUGCAGGUGUAGCGGUGAAAUGCGUAGAUAUCUGCAGGAACACCCGUGGCGAAGGCGGCUGACUGGAUCGCAACUGACGCUGAGGAACGAAAGCUAGGGGAGCAAACAGGAUUAGAUACCCUGGUAGUCCUAGCCCUAAACCAUCAGGACUUGGGGUGGCCCGCGUAGGCGGGUCGUCCCGUAGCUAACGCGUUAAGUUCUGCGCCUGGGGAGUACGGUCGCAAGACUGAAACUCAAAGGAAUUGACGGGGGCCCGCACAAGCGGUGGAACAUGUGGUUCAAUUCGACGCAACGCGAAGAACCUUACCUGGGCUUGAACCGCUAUUGACCAACGGUAGAAAUAUCGUCUUCCCGCAAGGGACAGGAGUAUAGGCGCUGCAUGGCUGUCGUCAGCUCGUGCCGUGAGGUGUUGGGUUAAGUCCCCGCAACGAGCGCAACCCCUGCACGUAGUUGCCACCCGCAAGGGGGAACUCUACGUGGACUGCUCCGGAUAACGGAGAGGAAGGUGGGGAUGACGUCCAGUCCGCAUGGCCUUUAUGUCCAGGGCUACACACGUGUUACAAUGCAGGGCACAAACCGUUGCCAACCCGCGAGGGGGAGCUAAUCGGAAAAAACUCUGCUCAGUUCGGAUUGCAGUCUGCAACUCGACUGCAUGAAGCCGGAAUCGCUAGUAAUGGCGUAUCAGAUCGACGCCGUGAAUACGUUCCCGGGCCUUGUACACACCGCCCGUCACAUCACGAAAGUGAGCUGUACUAGAAGUCGCCGAGCUAACCGCAAGGAGGCAGGCGCCCAAGGUAUGACUCAUGAUUGGGGUG
Molecule: ribosomal RNA, 961 nt
Filed under: uncultured bacterium
Lineage: Bacteria
Description: bacterial SSU rRNA
Rfam family: Bacterial small subunit ribosomal RNA
Source: RNAcentral